Non-coding RNA from Nicotiana tabacum (common tobacco), 2906 nucleotides. The record is from RefSeq and is a predicted model, not a curated record. NCBI's taxonomy places the organism in Eukaryota, Viridiplantae, Streptophyta, Magnoliopsida, Solanales, Solanaceae.
UCCCAAAAGGGAACGAGUUGUCCUCCCAAAUGUCAUAAACCCCAGUUUGCUUUAGAAAAAGGGGCGCGACAUACAUUAUUUACUUCUACAAAAUUAGUAAAUUAUAUAUUGUGUGUUAUUUGUUAUGUACCAGUGUUAAAGAAAUUAUUCUUUAACAUAUUCUAUUUGCUUCAAGUAUAUCUCUAUUGCAGUUUUGCUACUAUUUGUUUAACUUUUUAUCAACAACAAAAAUUAGAUGUAACUUAUCACUUCAAAUGUAUUAAAUUAUAAAUAAUUUGACAAAAGUUUACAAGCUUUUAGAUCAGAAAUGUACAUACAAAAAUAUUACAGAUUGAGUAUCUAAAUCUUAAAAGAAGAAACAAUGCUGACUCUCUAGAUACAUACUAGAUAGACAGAUACGAGUGUACUUCAGGAAACUAGCAAGCCUUGCCAUUCGGAUGAAAGGAAGCUUCAAGUCUCUUUUAUCUCAUGUUAAUUUUUAUUAACUAGAAUAGGUUCUCUUGUCUAUAUUAUUAACAAAAAAAGGUUCUCUUUGUGGUAUACUUGGUUUUCUCAUCAUCUCUGUAGAUAAUAUUAGUGGUUGAUGCUUUUGAAUGAAUUAGUCAACUGUAGAAAGUAAAAAACAAAUUAAAGAGAGUGAAUCAAAAUCAGCAAAGAAGAGAGCAAUGGUGCUUGGAACAGGAUGGGUUGGUUGGUACCAGCUUCCUAAAAGAGAUAUUACUUUCUUCUUUUAGUAGCGUCAAAUGCUGAGGAAGGCUUAUAACAGGCUGUGAUAGUAUAUGGGAUGCUUUAUCAUUGGAUUUGGCAACUUGCAGAGCUUUACCGACAAAACUUGCUGCAAAGAUAGUUGUGAAGGCGUGGAGUAGGUUAACAAGUUUGAAAGUGCCAAUCAAUUUAGUGAUUACUCAAAUCAGCAUGCACGAAGAAAAAGCAGUACAGCAACAAUUCACCACAAUCAAAGCGUAGCAUCGAGAAAGGGCAUAAACCAAGUGAUAAUCCCUUUUUGAGUUGAAAUUUGAUUUUGGUCUAAAGUCUUUAUGCUCGAUUAUUGCCCUAUUCCAGCUUUUCCUUAAGUUUCUUCUUCACUCUGGCCAUUAGCUUUUACUUGAUUUCUACAUUUUCUCAUUUGCUUUUUGGUUUUGGGGGUUUAUCAUAUAUGUGAAUUCUGCGGAGUUUCUUGGUGAUGGGAUUUUGAUGAUAUGUGUUGGUUUUUGCAGUUUCCUUCUUUGUGUUUUUGGGAUCCAUUCUAUUUCCUUUAUAUGAUGAUGAGAUUUUGAUAGACAUCUUUUAUUUUUCUUUUUUUUUUUGGACUAUUUUGAUGGUUGUGUGAAAUUGAUGAAGGGUUGCUGUGAUUACUUUGCCCUAAUUAUUUUGGGAUGGCUAAUUCAUAUCGUACUUUCAUAUAUUUUCGUGAAAUUAUAUGCCAUAUGUUUGACCAAUUGGCUGAAGACAUUGGAGCCUUAGAAUUAACAAUUAAAUAUGCUCAAAACUGUUUUCAGUCGAUAUAUUUUGCAAUACAUGUUUUAAUUAUAUAUAUAUAUAUAUAUGUGUGUGUGUGUGUGUGUGUGUGUGUGUGAUGGUGCACAUAGGAAGUAGUGAUGUUAGAUGACAACAACAACUUCUUUCUUUCUUCACCUUCAACUAAUGCUUCUUCAGUUCUUUACAUAUUUCUCAGUUACCAAUACACUUUUGCACUGAAAAGAGUACGUGUCUCUUCCAUUUGAUUCUAAAAGAUGUUGAUUCCACGUGUCUUUUAAUUCAGCAGAGACAACAUAUUACAUUUUUCUAAUAUUGCAACUUAGUUGUUUUCUCUGGUUCAUCGCUUUCUUCUUAUCUAUCUUGGGUCCAUUUCUAUUAUUUUUGCUCUCUUUGCUUUUGCUGGAAUUUUUUGGGUAUCUUGUUUGCUUCUAUCGACAUGAUUCUUUUUGGGGUUUUGUGAGUUUGCUUCUGCAAUUUCCUUUUGGUGCAUCUGCUAUCUCAAUUUUGGUGCAUAUUCCAUUUUUUCUUGAAUAUUCAUGUGUUAUCACAUUAUUUUGUGAUUGUAACAUUUUCGCAGGUCUAGCCUGAUACGCAUAUCACUUUAUUUGUUUUUCUAUUUUUGAAUUAUUUUUAUAUGUGAAAAUAUUAUUUUUGAACGUCUGAUUAUGACUCCGUAACUAUCUGCUUUAAGGUUCCAAGGGAUUUCGAAAUCAUAUUUCAGGUGGUGGGACUAAUUGUUUCAACGAGGAAGUACGAGGAAUAUUAUGGCUAAAGAUGGGACAAGAUGUACAAAGACAAAUUAUGUUUGAGGAAGCAAGUUAAAUUUUGAAUGAUGUUGUUGGGAGCAUAAGAAUUGUUGCGUCAUGUUGUGCGAAAGAGAAGGUUAUGGAAAUGUGUAGAAAACAGAGCCAAGAGCCAAGGCCUACUGAAUGCAAGAAAAACUUGACCAGUUUUUUUUCCCUCUAAUGAUGGCAACUAUAUUUAUGUCCCAGUCAAGCUCAUUCUGCACCAAGUAUAGCCAAGGUGGCUGUGCUCCAAUAUGUGCUAUUUCGGACAAAAAAUCGUGAAAUUCAAGUGAUGAUUCUGGUAUUACACAAGACACUAUGAAGGGAGAUUUUGAGCUAUAAUAUGCAAUCUUCACCGUUGCUUGAUCAUUAGCUGUGGAAAGCUGAAUAGAUAAUUUGAUCCCGUCCCGUUUAUUUGAUGUCUUCUUUCUUUUAAAUAAAUAAUGACAGAGAUCUUUACUACUGGAUAAUUUAUUGGUGAAGUAUGAAUGGGAUACAAAUUUAUGAAUUUUGGAGUAUUUAGAAUUUAAGAGAUGUUCGGAUGCGGUUCUUAGUUUUGAGAUAUGAAUUUGGUUUUACAUUGUCAAAUGUCAAGCAUGAUUUUGCCAUGAAAAUUUACAAUCAAAGUUGAUUGCUACAUCA